GGAACAGUCAACAUAAUCAACUUAGACAUUCUGAGUCCAACCCAAUGGUCACCUUAUUGAGCUGUUCCCUGCUUGAAAUGUCCCCCGGUCCACUUGUUGCUGAGGGCCACACCUGGUUCAUGUCUGCAUUUCUGGCCUCUAGCACAGGGCACAUCCUGAACUUGGAAAAAGACAGGGGAUAUGGCAUGUGGUACACCUGCCCCCUCCCCCUGGGAGACUGAUAACCUUAAUUGUCAAGUGAGUGUCAUAUUUCAAAUGAACAUUUAUUCAGUAC
Molecule: long non-coding RNA, 274 nt
Organism: Bos indicus x Bos taurus (hybrid cattle)
Lineage: Eukaryota; Metazoa; Chordata; Mammalia; Artiodactyla; Bovidae
Source: Ensembl